GGAAGUGGAUAGGAUCUGGUGGUCCUUGCGGACUUCAAAUCCGUCAGGCCGGCGCAAGCUGGUUGGCAGGUUCGAUUCCUGCCCCUUCCGCCA
Molecule: transfer RNA, 93 nt
Filed under: candidate division Zixibacteria bacterium RBG_16_48_11
Lineage: Bacteria; Pseudomonadati; Candidatus Zixiibacteriota
Description: tRNA-Sec
Rfam family: Selenocysteine transfer RNA
Source: RNAcentral